Molecule: ribosomal RNA, 650 nt
Filed under: Streptomyces bungoensis
Lineage: Bacteria; Bacillati; Actinomycetota; Actinomycetes; Kitasatosporales; Streptomycetaceae
Description: bacterial SSU rRNA
Rfam family: Bacterial small subunit ribosomal RNA
Source: RNAcentral
CAUGCAGUCGAACGAUGAACCACUUCGGUGGGGAUUAGUGGCGAACGGGUGAGUAACACGUGGGCAAUCUGCCCUUCACUCUGGGACAAGCCCUGGAAACGGGGUCUAAUACCGGAUAUCACUCCCGCAGGCAUCUGUGGGGGUCGAAAGCUCCGGCGGUGAAGGAUGAGCCCGCGGCCUAUCAGCUUGUUGGUGAGGUAACGGCUCACCAAGGCGACGACGGGUAGCCGGCCUGAGAGGGCGACCGGCCACACUGGGACUGAGACACGGCCCAGACUCCUACGGGAGGCAGCAGUGGGGAAUAUUGCACAAUGGGCGAAAGCCUGAUGCAGCGACGCCGCGUGAGGGAUGACGGCCUUCGGGUUGUAAACCUCUUUCAGCAGGGAAGAAGCGAAAGUGACGGUACCUGCAGAAGAAGCGCCGGCUAACUACGUGCCAGCAGCCGCGGUAAUACGUAGGGCGCAAGCGUUGUCCGGAAUUAUUGGGCGUAAAGAGCUCGUAGGCGGCUUGUCACGUCGGGUGUGAAAGCCCGGGGCUUAACCCCGGGUCUGCAUUCGAUACGGGCUAGCUAGAGUGUGGUAGGGGAGAUCGGAAUUCCUGGUGUAGCGGUGAAAUGCGCAGAUAUCAGGAGGAACACCGGUGGCGAAGGA